AUUUACGUUUUUCCAUUCUUACAACACACACAUGCUUAUAAACUUAGGCACCUGUUUUUCCUGCAGGGCUGAUGGAUUCCCCAUGAUUCCUUGUGCCUUGUCAAAUGUCCCCUGAGAAAUACAAUGCAGUGGAGGAAAGGACUAUGAAGACCCCACAGGGGCCCAGCCCAUCCUGAUGGGAGGGGAUGGGUGAGGAGCCUGCGCUGGAGGAAGAAGGCAAGUCAGUGGGGUCUGCCCUCAGAAGGUGGGGCAGCAGCCAGGCUGCAAGUGGAAGGCCUUUGCUACAGGGUGAGAAAAAGGCUUGUUGGAGCCUUUGUUCCUUCACAGGAGUAUUUGCCUUUGAUGGGCUGUCAAUAGGAAUCAUUAAGUGAUUAUUAAGAAGGGAACCUGAUGAGUCCAGCUCCAACUUGCUAAGUUCAGAGGUCUCCUGGCUUAGUUGUUUUUGCCUCUGCAAAUAAGGAGCCAGGCCCCUUCCCUGGAAGGUUCUUGAAUCAGGGGUUUUGGCCUUUUAGCCCAACAGGAUGGGGCAAUACCUGCGGGUGCCCAUUAACUCUUGGGGUAGCUCUUGGGAGGGCUGGGGUGGGAAAAGGAAGAGGUGGGGGGGGGCAGAGGUGACAGGGAGAGAUGGCGUGAUGGAGAGAGAUGGGAAGAGGGAAUGAGAGAGGAAGGGAGAGACAGCAACAGACAGUGAGCAAAAGGAGAGAGGAAGCCGGGAGAGAGGGAGUGGGGAGAGAGAGAAAGAAAAUGGAAAGAACACUGACCCUCAGGCUAAAUUCUAGAGCCUGAAUCCUGGCCAGCAUCCGCAGCACCAUCUGGGAGCUGAUACCGAUUCUCAGGCUGUCCCGUCCUACUGAGUUAAUUUCUGCAUUUAACAAGAUCCCUAGGUGAUCCUCUGCACGUUCAAGUUUGAGAAGCCCCGGUUUGGUGGUCACCAGGGUAACCCACCCAAAAUGGCCCAACAGGUCUGGAGCUUGAGGCAGGGUCUUCAGGACCCACGAAAACUUCACGGAGAGGCUGGAGCGCAGUGGUGUGAGCGGCCCACACCGAAUUCAAAGCUGGGAGGAAUGUGAGCGGUCUUGCCCUGAGUCACCUGCUGCAGCUGGAAGGAGCCAUCACUGCCCCUUCUGUCUCUGUCUUCUGAGACUUUGCAGCACGCCAGGGCAUCUGCCUGACACCCAGUUCCAGAAAGUCUGGUUUUCUUCCCAAAGCCAGAGACCGUGUGCUUCAUCUAGGAGGUGGCUAGAAUGCCUUGGGAUAGGGAUGGGUGGGUCAAGAGGCUCACAGAAGAAUGGAAGUGAGGGCAGGGUUGCCCCUGUUCACAACUUCCUGCACAACCCCGCUUUCCAUGGGCAACAGCCAGGUGAGUGACCUGCCCUAGGUCCCUGGGAGGGCUGGCCAGGGUGGGGCGAGGUAACUGGCCCCUGGUCUUGCAGCCAGAGCCUAAGGCAUCUGGGGAUGCUGACCACUUGCAGCCCGGAGAGAGCACAGCUGUCCUCUGCUUGGGGGUUUGUGACACAAGGCAACGGGAGUGGCUGAACACGUAACAACAAAGGAGACUGCAGCCAUGGAGUCAGGGUCAGGGCAC
Long non-coding RNA from Macaca mulatta (Rhesus monkey), 1585 nucleotides. Lineage: Eukaryota; Metazoa; Chordata; Mammalia; Primates; Cercopithecidae. The record is from Ensembl.